CCUACGGGAGGCAGCAGUAGGGAAUAUUGCUCAAUGGGGGAAACCCUGAAGCAGCAACGUCGCGUGGAGGAUGAAUGUUUUCGGAUUGUAAACUCCUUUUUUUAGAGAAGAUAAUGACGGUAUCUAACGAAUAAGCACUGGCUAACUCCGUGCCAGCAGCCGCGGUAAUACGGAGGGUGCGAGCGUUACUCGGAAUCACUGGUCGUAAAGCGCGCGUAGGCGGGUUGGCAAGUCAGAUGUGAAAUCCUAUGGCUUAAUCAUAAAACUGCAUUUGAAACUGUUAGUCUAGAGUAUGGGAGAGGUAGGAGGAAUUCGUGGUGUAGGGGUAAAAUCCUUAGAGAUCAAGAAGAAUACUCAUUGCGAAGGCAACCUACUAGAACAUAACUGACACUGAUGCGCGAAAGCGUGGGUAGCAAACAGGAGUAGAUACCCCGGUAGUC
This 440-nucleotide ribosomal RNA is filed under the name uncultured bacterium. Its description in RNAcentral is "partial 16S ribosomal RNA". It matches the Rfam family "Bacterial small subunit ribosomal RNA", at positions 338 to 795 of the family's 1533-position model. The record is from RNAcentral.